Molecule: ribosomal RNA, 253 nt
Filed under: uncultured bacterium
Lineage: Bacteria
Description: partial 16S ribosomal RNA
Rfam family: Bacterial small subunit ribosomal RNA
Source: RNAcentral
UACAGAGGGUGCAAGCGUUAAUCGGAAUUACUGGGCGUAAAGCGUGCGUAGACGGUUGCGUAAGUCAGAUGUGAAAGCCCCGGGCUCAACCUGGGAAUUGCAUUUGAGACUGCGUAGCUAGGGUGCGGAAGAGGGAAGCGGAAUUUCCGGUGUAGCGGUGAAAUGCGUAGAUAUCGGAAGGAACACCAGUGGCGAAAGCGGCUUCCUGGUCCAGCACCGACGCUCAGGCACGAAAGCGUGGGGAGCAAACAGG